RNAcentral lists this ribosomal RNA (492 nucleotides) under uncultured bacterium. Its description in RNAcentral is "partial 16S ribosomal RNA". It matches the Rfam family "Bacterial small subunit ribosomal RNA", at positions 38 to 507 of the family's 1533-position model. The record is from RNAcentral.
AGGGAAGGAGGGGGGGAGGAAGAACACAGGAAAGUCGAACGGUAGCACAGUAAGAGCUUGCUCUUACGGGUGUCGAGUGGCGGACGGGUGAGGAAUACAUCGGAAUCUACUUUUUCGUGGGGGAUAACGUAGGGAAACUUACGCUAAUACCGCAUACGACCUACGGGUGAAAGCAGGGGAUCUUCGGACCUUGCGCGAUUGAAUGAGCCGAUGUCGGAUUAGCUAGUUGGCGGGGUAAAGGCCCACCAAGGCGACGAUCCGUAGCUGGUCUGAGAGGAUGAUCAGACACACUGGAACUGAGACAAGGUCCAGACUCCUACGGGAGGCAGCAGUGGGGAAUAUUGGACAAUGGGCGCAAGCCUGAUCCAGCCAUACCGCGUGGGUGAAGAAGGCCUUCGGGUUGUAAACCCCUUUUGUUGGGAAAGAAAAGCAGCAGGUUAAUACCCCGCUGUUCUGACGGUACCCAAAGGAUAAGCACCGGCUAACUUCGUC